UCCUACGGGAGGCAGCAGUAGGGAAUCUUCCGCAAUGGACGAAAGUCUGACGGAGCAACGCCGCGUGAGUGAAGAAGGCCUUCGGGUCGUAAAACUCUGUUGCCGGGGAAGAACAAGUGCCGUUCGAACAGGGCGGCGCCUUGACGGUACCCGGCCAGAAAGCCACGGCUAACUACGUGCCAGCAGCCGCGGUAAUACGUAGGUGGCAAGCGUUGUCCGGAAUUAUUGGGCGUAAAGCGCGCGCAGGCGGCUUCUUAAGUCUGAUGUGAAAUCUUGCGGCUCAACCGCAAGCGGUCAUUGGAAACUGGGAGGCUUGAGUGCAGAAGAGGAGAGUGGAAUUCCACGUGUAGCGGUGAAAUGCGUAGAGAUGUGGAGGAACACCAGUGGCGAAGGCGGCUCUCUGGUCUGUAACUGACGCUGAGGCGCGAAAGCGUGGGGAGCAAACAGGAUUAGAUACCCUGGUAGUCCACGCCGUAAACGAUGAGUGCUAAGUGUUAGAGGGUUUCCGCCCUUUAGUGCUGCAGCUAACGCAUUAAGCACUCCGCCUGGAGAUGCCGAAGGUGC
RNAcentral lists this ribosomal RNA (564 nucleotides) under uncultured bacterium. Its description in RNAcentral is "bacterial SSU rRNA". It matches the Rfam family "Bacterial small subunit ribosomal RNA", at positions 337 to 873 of the family's 1533-position model. The record is from RNAcentral.